Molecule: long non-coding RNA, 1045 nt
Organism: Acromyrmex echinatior (Panamanian leafcutter ant)
Lineage: Eukaryota; Metazoa; Arthropoda; Insecta; Hymenoptera; Formicidae
Source: RefSeq, a predicted model, not a curated record
AGAAUUCAAACUUUAAAGAAGAACUCUACGUUGUUUAUAAAUAUGAAUAAAGCAUGAUGGAAAUAGUGUUGCAAGAUUCGUGAAUUUCUUCAUGGAGCAAUAAGAACAAAUUCAAGCGGUCACGAAAAAAGUAGACUCGAAACACGGUGUAGGAAAACCCAUGGAAAAUUCGGCAGAUGUAAUUCUAGUGUCAUCGUGUCUUGUGGGAAAAGUUAGAAGUAUUGACUGUCACGUGACUGUCACAGCCACACGUAUGUAUGCAUGUGUAGUAUGUAUGUAACAGUAUCUAAGGGUGAAAUCAUACGGUGCGAAAAAGAGCUGCGGAAUAGAGAAUGCGUCAUUGAAACAACUAAUUAGCGCUAUUCGGAAUAACGCAGAAUAAUGCUGAUUAUUCUGCCGUAGAGAUACUAAAAGGAGAGAUCGGCCAAUGCGACUCGAUCCGUGAUUGGCUCUGCCAUGAUGUUGUGAAAUCGAAUGGGAGAUUGAAAGAAGCGAAUGUGAGAGCGAGAGAAGCGUCGUCUGCUUACGAUUAAGUUGUCACAAAAAUAAUUUAACUUAGACGAGUCUUUUACAUUUUGAAAAUGAUAAGUUGCUGUACGGAUUAUUGCAUAAAUUCCUCAAAAAAAGAAUUUCGAGUAUAUAUCAAAUCCCGAGAGGGCAGAGGAGAAAAGUUUGGUUAAAGUACAUUAACCGUGAAGAUUUGGAUAUUGAAAAUAUGCGUUCAUGUCAUGCCCAUUUUUCUCCUGAUAUGUGGGAAGCAUACCCAGACAGUAAACCAAGAUGUUUGAAAGCAAAUGCUGUGUCUACAAUUUUCAAACAUAUGAAUGCUUUGGCUGCAACAGUGAUAGAUACAAUUGAAGACUCCCAAGAACCUGUAUUAAAUUCGGAUACACAUUAAGCAGAACUACGACAUAUUUAACGUUUGAUCACUGCACUACAUCACAGAAUUUGGAGAAGCUGCUAAAAACAAGUGAACAGUUGAAAGUUAAAAUGAAAAAAAAGUUUGUAACUGAAGAAGGAACUGAAGCGUUUAAAAAAUGAAGUG